GUUUCUUCAAAGAUUAACUGGCCUUCUUUAAAAGUACAUCAGUUUCCUCUUAGGCAGAUAUUUGCAUAGCAGUGAACUGGGUGUUUAUUGCUGCAAAUCAUUUGCUGGACCCCGAGUUGGCUGUUAAUUCCUUGUUCUGUUAUGACAACAUCUAAAAAGAAGUCUGCAUAUAUUGAUCUUUGCAGAGCAUAGCUGUACCUUACGAGAAAACACCAAACUGUCUGCUUUUCCUGACCUAACUGUUGCUGUUUAAAACCAUGUUCUUCAUUUGACUGCUUUUGAACCUGUCCAGACAAGAAUAUUUAAGUGAGAUAAGUAAGUGGAAGAAACCAGCUUUCCUAAACACAAAGGCUGAGAAGAUAAACUGGGGAGGAGAGAAAAC
Molecule: long non-coding RNA, 382 nt
Filed under: Phascolarctos cinereus (koala)
Lineage: Eukaryota; Metazoa; Chordata; Mammalia; Diprotodontia; Phascolarctidae
Description: lncRNA (ENSPCIG00000036154.1)
Source: RNAcentral